RNAcentral lists this ribosomal RNA (561 nucleotides) under Physarum psittacinum. RNAcentral describes it as "SSU rRNA". It matches the Rfam family "Eukaryotic small subunit ribosomal RNA", at positions 28 to 537 of the family's 1831-position model. The record is from RNAcentral. Lineage: Eukaryota; Evosea; Eumycetozoa; Physariida; Physaraceae.
AUGCUUCUCCUAAAGACUAAGCCAUGCAUGUCUAUGACUAGAAGAGGAAUUCUCUCUGAAUCUGCGAACGGCUCCGCAAACCAGUUGUAAACCACGGCGAACACGUCCCGGCUAUGGCGCAAGCCAGGGCUGGGGCAAAAAGGAUAACCCUGGUAAUUCUGAGGCUAAUACAAGAACGUAACUCCUGGUCGACCGGUUCGCUGGAAGACUGGGGGGCGUGCAACAGGCGCAAAGGGAUCCUAUGAUUAGACGCACGCUCUGACCACCAUACCAAACAGUCUUCAGCCAGCCCCUCACGGGGCAGGUAGUUGUCUGGGUGGCUUUCGCGGGGUGCUUCUGACCUAUCAACUAGAUGGCAGCGUAACGGACAUGCUAUGGUCACAACGGGUACAGAGGAUAAGGGUUCGAUCCUGGAGAGUGGGCCUGAGAGAUUGCUCACACUUCUAAGGAAGGCAGCAGGCGCGCAACGUUCCCCUUGGGCAGUGCUUGAGGGCGUUAGGGGACAUAUGAAUGCCUGCCAAUUGGUGGGCAAUUCAAAUGGGUUUGUUUUAAACAGCCUUU